GUGCUUGUUUUAGAAGCACAUAUACUAAAAUGGAAACGACACAGAGAAGAUUAUUAGCAUGGCCACUAAACAAGGAUGACAAAGAAAUUUGUGAAGGGAUAACUAUGACU
Molecule: small nuclear RNA, 110 nt
Organism: Grammomys surdaster
Lineage: Eukaryota; Metazoa; Chordata; Mammalia; Rodentia; Muridae
Source: RefSeq, a predicted model, not a curated record